This 494-nucleotide ribosomal RNA is filed under the name uncultured bacterium. Its description in RNAcentral is "partial 16S ribosomal RNA". It matches the Rfam family "Bacterial small subunit ribosomal RNA", at positions 28 to 507 of the family's 1533-position model. The record is from RNAcentral.
GACGAACGCUGGCGGCGUGCUUGACACAUGCAAGUCGAACGGAAAGGCCUGCUUUCCCUUGUGGAUUGCGGGUACUCGAGUGGCGAACGGGUGAGUAACACGUGAGUGAUCUGCCCCCAACUUGGGUAUAAGCCUGGGAAACUGGGUCUAAUUCCCGAUAGGACUGCAGGGUGGUGCCUGUGGUGGAAAACGAUUUUCUAGUGGUUGGGGAUGAGCUCGCGGCCUAUCAGCUUGUUGGUGGGGUAAUGGUCUACCAAGGCGGCGACGGGUAGCCGGCCUGGGGGGGUGGACGGCCACAGUGGGACUGAGAUACGGCCAAGACUCCUACGGGAGGCAGCAGUGGGGAAUAUUGCACAAUGGGCGGAAGCCUGAUGCAGCGACGCCGCGUGGGGGAUGACGGCCGUCGGGUUGUAAACUCCUUUCGACCGCGAGGAAGCCACCUGGUUGGAAGGGUGGUGACGGUAGUGGUAGAAGAAGCACCGGCUAACUACGUG